Molecule: long non-coding RNA, 701 nt
Filed under: Danio rerio (zebrafish)
Lineage: Eukaryota; Metazoa; Chordata; Actinopteri; Cypriniformes; Danionidae
Description: si:dkey-93m18.3 (si:dkey-93m18.3)
Source: RNAcentral
GUUUGUCAAGAAUUAGAAUAUCCAGUAGUGUCUGAGACUAUUUAAAUACAGUGAUUGAUUGGUCCGUUCUGAGAAUAUAUGAUAUAUUCUCAGAAAGGUAUGCAAAUCUUUUAUGCGCUCGCCCACAGAAAAGGUCUUUCGCCAAGAUCGACGCUGCUUAACCGUCCUGAACUGUGUGAACAUGUUUAACGCACGGUAGACAGUAAAACACAGGUUUAAAAAUGCCCAAGAAAUCACAGCUUGAUCAUCGAAAAAGCAAGAACCUGAAGAGCAAACCAAAAUCUAAAGACUCAGGAGAGAUGAACACAGAGAAACUUAUGAGACGAAACAGCAAAGAGGAAUUUGAUGUAAAUUUUUCUCGUGAUCCGGCUGAUGAGUCUCGUUCUGGUCCACAGGAGAAGCUCCAGGAUGAGAAAACAUGAUGUUAACCUCCACUAUGUGACGGGGUUCAGUCUCCAUCCUGGACAACACAGUGUUUACUGUUACACAAACUACUCAAUGGCUGAACUACUGGAUCUGCAUUUGUGUUUCUGUAUCAUUCUCACACACACACACACAUCAGUUCAGAUCAAACGUUAUAAUUUUUCUUAUGCACAUAUAUAAUCGACACGUUUUUCUCUUUCUACUGUACUUUAUUUUAAUGUUUUAUAAUUGUUUUUACAUAUUUUCCUAAUAAACUUUAAAUGAACUUUAAAAUGGAA